RNAcentral lists this transfer RNA (76 nucleotides) under Hoeflea sp. RNAcentral's name for it is "tRNA-Phe". It matches the Rfam family "tRNA". Rfam says of the family: Transfer RNA (tRNA) molecules are approximately 80 nucleotides in length. Their secondary structure includes four short double-helical elements and three loops (D, anti-codon, and T loops). The record is from RNAcentral. Lineage: Bacteria; Pseudomonadati; Pseudomonadota; Alphaproteobacteria; Hyphomicrobiales; Rhizobiaceae.
GCCCGGAUAGCUCAGUUGGUAGAGCAGCGGAUAGAAAAUCAGAGUGUCGGUGGUUCAAAUCCGCCUCCGGGCACCA